UACGUAGGGUGCAAGCGUUAAUCGGAAUUACUGGGCGUAAAGCGUGCGCAGGCGGCUUUGCAAGACAGAUGUGAAAUCCCCGGGCUAACCUGGGAACUGCAUUUGUGACUGCAUGGCUGGAGUGCGGCAGAGGGGGAUGGAAUUCCGCGUGUAGCAGUGAAAUGCGUAGAUAUGCGGAGGAACACCGAUGGCGAAGGCAAUCCCCUGGGCCUGCACUGACGCUCAUGCACGAAGGCGUGGGGAGCAAACAGG
This 252-nucleotide ribosomal RNA is filed under the name uncultured bacterium. Its description in RNAcentral is "partial 16S ribosomal RNA". It matches the Rfam family "Bacterial small subunit ribosomal RNA", at positions 524 to 776 of the family's 1533-position model. The record is from RNAcentral.